This is a long non-coding RNA of Prionailurus viverrinus (fishing cat), 1761 nucleotides long. RefSeq lists it as uncharacterized. NCBI's taxonomy places the organism in Eukaryota, Metazoa, Chordata, Mammalia, Carnivora, Felidae. The record is from RefSeq and is a predicted model, not a curated record. The transcript has 6 exons.
CAUACACACAGGGAGGACACCAUGGAAGGACAGAGCAGAGAUAUAAAUGAUACAGCUGCAAGCCAAGGAGCACCCACGAUUGCCGGCUACCAGCAGAAACUAGGGUGGUCAGUCUAUGGGAAUAAAGUCAUGGAAAAUACCCUCUAUUUUCCCUUAAUGUGCAAAUAUUCGUGGAAGAGAAAUACAGCAAAGAGAAAAGGCUAUUACAGAAAGAACCAUAAUAGACGUGAGGAGAGCACGCAGAGAGGAUAAACAACACUGCCCAAAGAUUUGCAAAGACGUGUUCUUGCAGGAAGACUGAAGGUUCGCCAGAAGGCAAUAAGGAGUUCAAUGGGGAUGAGCAAAGAUACAGACAAGAAGGAAAAGGACAUUGGACGAGUGCUGGAAUAUAAAGACCAUUGCAGAAUAAAAACAACGUUACCAGAAGAAGCAAGCUAAGGUGGAAAGUGUUCAAGAAGGGCAAGGAUAUGCUGCCAUAUUUUAUGUCUCAUCCUGGAAGGAGGUGUUGUAAAAAGAACAAGACUGGGCUCAAUAUUGACUGGACAUCCUAGACUUCACGUGUGGCUUUAUGGGAUGUAGCCCUGUUGGUAUGAUCGUCUUGCUGUCGCCACUUGGUAUCCAAAGUCAAGGUCCCUCACUAAGUAAGGCUGGAUUUUUACUUUAUGUACGCGAAUCAUCUGACUGUACCAUCCUGUGAAAAGGUUAAUCCCGGGAAAGAAAAUGAAGACUCACUUUUUGUACCUUUAACCAAAGUGUAGUCUGGGAUUGAACUUGAACCUGAAAACAAGCAUGACCUAACAUGAUUAUUAUGAGGAAUUGCCUGUGAUGUGCUUUCCUUCUUUCUUCCCCCAUCUUGGCUGUGCUCUGUUGGAACAGUGGAACUUUCUCCUCCAUACUUGGGAAGGUGAAGAAGAGAAUCCCGUUCUGGAGCCUAGAGCAGUGGUGGAGGCCUUGUCAUCUAUAGAAGACAAGUCUGUCGGGCAACAAGGUGAUCCCACAGCAGUGAGAAAUGUGGCGACAAAGCUGCACUUUAUCUUGGCACUGUCACCCUAUAAAACAGCUGCGGCUAAGAAACCUCCCACCCAUUCUUUGGUGUUCUGGGAAACAGCCUGCCGCAAAGUAACAUCCUUCUCCAAAUGACCUAAGUAAGACUCGCAGACGCUCCCUUGUUUAUAUAUGUGGUGAGAUGGAAGUAAGCCCCAAGUGGAAAAAUAUGUGGGACUCCAUUCUGAACACACGUUCAGAUGAGUUAGCAUCCUGGAGAAGCAUCAGAAAGAACAAGAGAAAAGUAUAAAGAAGGACAAUUAGGAAUUACAUAUUGGUUCCCAUUCCUUUCCUUCCCAUGAAUCAUCCAGGUUUGCCAAGCUUGGCAAGGCCAGGGCCAAAGAGGCAGCCAGGGCUACUGAGGCACACAAGACCCAGGCCAAGAAGGUGACUGAGACUAAAGGAGUGACCAGAACUUGUGGGGCUUGGGCAGAGGAGGCAGCCAAAGGGGUCAAUAUAUUGAUUAUAAAAGAGAGAAAUGAGCAAAUAAGAAAAUAGGAACCAUGUUUCUCAUUGGGAAAGGGAGUUCAAAUGACACAGCUAGAAUAAUUCCUGUGAUUUGGGGAUUUGAAUUAGAGGUAUGGAUGAAUUUAUACCAACUAACAGAAGUAAUGGACUUAAGUACAAUUUGGAAAUAAGGAAUAUGUUGCCAAGAGAACCCCCACAUGCCAAAAAGACACUGGGUGCUGGAAAGGUCAAUAACUUCUUUGGGGGGCA